Small nuclear RNA from Carassius auratus (goldfish), 108 nucleotides. The record is from Ensembl. Lineage: Eukaryota; Metazoa; Chordata; Actinopteri; Cypriniformes; Cyprinidae.
UUUAAGUUUGGACUUUUAAGCACUUUUUGAAUUGGAUCGAUACAGAGAAGAUUAGCAUGGCCCCUGCGAAAGGAUGACACACAAAUCCGUGAAGCGCUCCAUCUUUUU